RNAcentral lists this ribosomal RNA (478 nucleotides) under uncultured bacterium. Its description in RNAcentral is "partial 16S ribosomal RNA". It matches the Rfam family "Bacterial small subunit ribosomal RNA", at positions 28 to 507 of the family's 1533-position model. The record is from RNAcentral.
GACGAACGCUGGCGGCGUGCUUAACACAUGCAAGUCGAACGUGAUUUUUGUGGAAAUUCUUUCGGGAAUGGAAAUGAAAUGAAAGUGGCGAACGGGUGAGUAACACGUGAGCAACCUACCUUACACAGGGGGAUAGCCGUUGGAAACGACGAUUAAUACCGCAUGAGACCACAGAAUCGCAUGAUAUAGGGGUCAAAGAUUUAUCGGUGUAAGAAGGGCUCGCGUCUGAUUAGCUAGUUGGAAGGGUAAAGGCCUACCAAGGCGACGAUCAGUAGCCGGUCUGAGAGGAUGAACGGCCACAUUGGAACUGAGACACGGUCCAAACUCCUACGGGAGGCAGCAGUGGGGAAUAUUGCACAAUGGGUGGAACCCUGAUGCAGCGACGCCGCGUGAGCGAAGAAGGUUUUCGAAUCGUAAAGCUCUGUCCUAUGAGAAGAUAAUGACGGUAUCAUAGGAGGAAGCCCCGGCUAAAUACGUG